UCGAACAAUAAACAAUAUUUUUUUGAUGUCAAGGGUAAGUCCAAGUUUCCCUUCCCCUGGACUCUCGGUCUCCCACUUGUUACAAAUCUUCGGGAGUUCGUCCAUGACUCAUAAGAUAAAUAGAUCUUUUACGUAUUUGACCAACUUUCGAAUAGACUUCCUACUCAAAGAAUUCUGGCCGUGUACCAAUCGCUCCACCGUUGGGUGGAUUUUUUUCGGUUUAAAUUACUUGUGUUUUUCUCAGUUUGUUGAUCGUGCUUAAUUUUAUGUUUGUUUGAAAGAAUAAUGGCAGAAACAAAUGUUGAUGUUGUGAACAUGAUGAAGCAACUACACCAACAAGCAGUCAGUCGACAAAAAAGGGGUCGCUAGAGCUUGUUGGUGGGGUUUCGUCCACUCCCAUCAUAGACUUAGUUCCACCAUCAAGUGACGAAGAGCACCCAAAAAGACAAAAAAGGAGGGGAGACUCGAGCAGUCUCCUUGUCGAUUUUCCCCCAAUCGUCUUCGGGGAUAUGUUUGGGGUCAGCAUCCAUGUUAGUAGAGCGAUUCCAGAUCGCUUAGGAUGUGAAAGGAUGAAGAAGAGGCCAUUGUCUUGGCGCCAAUCGAAGACAUUGUAUUGGCUGUCGUGGAAAUGAUGAGUUAUUCUCUCGUUAUCUCUCGAGUGAUCGGGACCGAAGUUCAGAAGAACUCGACAGUUGCUAUAGAGAAGGUGAAGGCAUAGUUGACCGAGUCAUCGAGCUCUCAGAAGGCGACCCUGGAGGCCAUGAGUGCUUUGGAGGAAUACUCACGUCAAGUCAAGUCUGACCUUGACAGUGUGCGGACUCACAAUGCUACCCUAUAAGCCGAGGUGCAAGCCCUUGAGCAAGGUCAUACUGAUAUGUCCAAUACUCAAGAGGAGUGUUGUCGGCCAAGAACAAACCCUUGGAGGAGGAAUUGGCCAAUUAUUAAUCAUUUGUCCUCCGAAUUAGCAAGGAAGGUUUCAACCAAGGCAUUUGGCAGGAGGCCUUUUUCCAUGGAGUCUCGGUUAAGGACGACCGAUACGACAACUCAAAAGAUGUUGUCAAUGGUCAAUUGGUCUCCUUCAACGAUGUCGAGGGGGAAGAGGGGAGGGGGAACGCUCGGUUGAAGAGGUGUUCGACCUUGUUUAACUUUGUAAUAUUUAUUUUCAUUUUGAAAUCCUUUGGACCCAAGAUGUGGGCCCUUUUUGUAAUGAACAUCCUUUAUUUAUAAAAUUUCUUCUUGUAAUGCAA
This 1247-nucleotide long non-coding RNA is filed under the name Phaseolus vulgaris (common bean). RNAcentral's name for it is "long non-coding RNA (PVUL_LNC002574)". The record is from RNAcentral. Lineage: Eukaryota; Viridiplantae; Streptophyta; Magnoliopsida; Fabales; Fabaceae.